GCUAGCGUAGCUUAACCAAAGCAGAGUACUGAAGAUGCUAAGAUGGACCUUUGAAAAGUCCCGCAGGCA
This 69-nucleotide transfer RNA is filed under the name Torquigener flavimaculosus (dwarf blaasop). RNAcentral describes it as "tRNA-Phe". The record is from RNAcentral. Lineage: Eukaryota; Metazoa; Chordata; Actinopteri; Tetraodontiformes; Tetraodontidae.